CGCGGUAAUACGGAGGGUGCAAGCGUUAAUCGGAAUUACUGGGCGUAAAGCGCACGCAGGCGGUUUGUUAAGUCAGAUGUGAAAUCCCCGCGCUUAACGUGGGAACUGCAUUUGAAACUGGCAAGCUAGAGUCUUGUAGAGGGGGGUAGAAUUCCAGGUGUAGCGGUGAAAUGCGUAGAGAUCUGGAGGAAUACCGGUGGCGAAGGCGGCCCCCUGGACAAAGACUGACGCUCAGGUGCGAAAGCGUGGGGAGCAAACAGGAU
This 263-nucleotide ribosomal RNA is filed under the name Serratia sp. (in: enterobacteria). RNAcentral describes it as "Serratia sp. partial 16S ribosomal RNA". It matches the Rfam family "Bacterial small subunit ribosomal RNA", at positions 516 to 778 of the family's 1533-position model. The record is from RNAcentral. Lineage: Bacteria; Pseudomonadati; Pseudomonadota; Gammaproteobacteria; Enterobacterales; Yersiniaceae.